UACGUAGGGUGCGAGCGUUGUCCGGAAUUCUUGGGCGUAAAGAGCUCGUAGGCGGUCUGUCGCGUCGGUCGUGAAAACUUGGGGCUUAACCCUGAGCUUGCGGUCGAUACGGGCAUGACUGGAGUUCGGCAGGGGAGACUGGAAUUCCUGGUGUAGCGGUGAAAUGCGCAGAUAUCAGGAGGAACACCGGUGGCGAAGGCGGGUCUCUGGGCCGAUACUGACGCUGAGGAGCGAAAGCGUGGGGAGCGAACAGG
This 254-nucleotide ribosomal RNA is filed under the name uncultured bacterium. Its description in RNAcentral is "partial 16S ribosomal RNA". It matches the Rfam family "Bacterial small subunit ribosomal RNA", at positions 524 to 776 of the family's 1533-position model. The record is from RNAcentral.